CUGGUGGGAAAGCUCCGACCAGCAAGGCCAUAUGCUCCCCCUCCCCUACCUAAAGCCCCAAAUAAAAACCCUUCCUUUUAGCUUUUCGGGGAGUUUGGGAUUUCAGCGUUAGCUGCCCUCUCUUCUUGCUCAGCGCUGUGCAAAAAUAGAAUUCCUACUUUCUUCCACCACCCCCGGUGUCAGAGAUUAGCUUGCUGCGCAACGGGACCGGCCGGAAAUAAUGGGUACCUUGGCAGCCCUCUGGGCUCUGUUUGUUUUGAAGUCGCCGCGACGCCCCGGCCAAAUUUUGGUAAGUCCCCUGGGUGUGCACAACCGAGGUCCCUUGUCCUUGCGCAUUUGGGAGGAUCUGCAUGGCAGAUGUUCAUUUGUUGGGCGCCCACCGAGUGUAGGGCACGGACUGAGCUGGGACUGGAAGCACUUUGGUUUCUAGUUUUGGUCUUUGUUUUGGCUUCCGUUUGUGGCCGCGGGUUUUUGGGAAUGUGCGCUUGUUUGGUAUUUGUUGUUAUCUGUCUGUUUGUCUGUCCUUUCAAAAGUGUUAACAUGGGAGAUGCUCAUUUAUUCCACCUAAGAGCCCAUUGGGAAAAACUUUGGCUGAUGGUCGACCUAUAGCCAUAAGGCAAUGUCUAAAGAGGGAUGAUUUUCUUUUGUAACACCACGUGGCCACAAUAUUCUUUAGACUCCGGGGAGAAAAAAAUGGCCAAAUGAUGGAUCCUCAAGUUGGGAAACUUUUUAGAGAGUUCUUAUGAUAAGCAACUGUUUUAUCAGUACCUAUGUAAAUACCAAAUUAAGAAGAAAUUAUAAUGACUAGUCUUAAGAACUUAAUCAAACUUGGGGUCUCAGCUUCUCGUAGUCUUACAGAUGCUAAUGAAAAUGUUAAGUUAACAAAGAAAAAUCAGAAAGGAAGAGUCACAGGACUCAUCCCAAUGGGAUAAAUGGAACAGAUAUAAAUGAAGUUAAAACAAAGGUUAUAAUAAAAUACUGCCUAAGGUUGGAUGGGCUAUUGGCUCCCCAAUAUUAAAGGACAUCAGACAAAUCUGUUCUAUUUACCCCAGUUGGAAACAUUUAAAAGGUCAGGAGGCAAAAGUCAGAGUGAGACACCUGACCAACAGUUGUUUGGGGCAACAGUUAGCCUACUAAGAUUAAUAAGAUUAUAAAGAUUAAAGUAUUUAAGCUAAUAUUAUAUGAAGAGGUUAUGUCAACUUUGCCUGGAUGUUUUCUUUGGGAAUAAAUGUUAUGUCUAACUGGGAAUGCUUCCCCUGAACAAUAUUGUAAUACCAAAACUUGUUAAUAGAAUUCUAAUGUAAGUUAUAAUUAAAAGUAUAAGGGUUAGUAAAACUAAGAUAAAGUUUUGUAAAAAUUGAUAUACUUAAACAGGCCAAUUUCAGUUCACCCAAACUGAUGUAUGCAAUUGGAAAAGCCAGCUGCAACAACGGGGAGCCUGUUUUAAUCUUUUGAGGCUUCUAAAUAAAAUUAGAAAUACUUUACUGCCUCUUUAAGAGAAAAUAAUUAAAUAAUUAAACAUGCCAGCAGCCAAACCCAAAUCUGCUGCUUUUUUCUACUCUCUUGCUGAGCUUCCCAGCAAGCUGAGCUUCACUUCAACUCCCCCAAAAUUCCUGAUCUAAAAUUGAACGAGAAAAAAUAAGUAAACUUUUGAGAUAAUUUGGAAUUGUAAUGGCCAUUCUGAAAACGUGUUUCAGAAGAGCAUUCAAAAUCUCUCAUAAUGGAAUGCAGUCUUUAACGAAUAUGCAAAAACUUCUGAGACAAAGUUAUUUAACAUGAUAUAAAAUGAUCUUUGAUGAAUGAAAGCCUGUUUGUUUGCUGGUUUCAUUUAAAAUGAACAUGUCUUCAAAGUUAUCAGCAUUGGCUAUAAUGCAGACAUACAGCCUGGGUUUACUGGUCAAAUGAGCUCAUGUCAUCUCUGUUACAAAAUUUAUCAAUAAAACUCAUAACUCAGUAUAAUAGCUAAUUUUGUUUAAUGUCUCAUGGAGUUUUUCUAGACGAUCUAAAUAUAAUUGUUAAGAACAGGUAAAUUAAAUAAAUGUAAAAAAAUAAAAGUUUUUGGAAAAACUUUUUAACAAUCAUUAUAUAUGUAAUUAUAUGUAUAAUAAUUAUAUUAUGAUAUAUGUACUUAAAACAACUGAGGAUGAUAGUUAACUGCUGUAGUGUCACAUGAAGUUUUUAAGAGUAAUUAUUAAAACUGGGUAGGAGUUUUAAGUACAAUAAUUAUGUCUUAUAGGCUGCAUACUUAAAAACAGCUUCCAAAAUCUUUUUGGAAACAAAUUUUAUAGCUUUACUAAAUUAAAUUAAAUAAUAACAGUUUAUUGGGUAUCUAGGUCAUUUCCACAUAAGAUAAAAUAUUAAAGGUUAACUACUAAGCAUAUAUUUGUCUGCCUUUGGUUUCUUAUAUCAAAGAGACUGAAAAGUGCUUAGGUUUAUUAAUAAACAUCUUAUAUGUAUGCUGAGAAAGUUUCUAUGAGAAAACAUAUAUUUCUAAAAGGUCUGUAUACAAAGAGAGUAAAAUAUAUGCUUUCAAUAAAAAGAUAUAAAGAAUGGAAAUACUUUCGUUUCUUGAGUUGAGAAAGAUAAAUUUGUCCUAAAGUGCUGGGACAAAUUCUGAAGGUAAAAAAAGUAACCAAAGGUUUGUAAAAGUAAAGCCCUAAAGAGAUUUAUGUAUGGUCAAGUUGCCCAGGAUUAAAGUAAAUCCAAUUAAGUAAAUAAACUUAUAUGUCAAAGGUAAAGUGGUACAAAAUUAAAACUUGGUUUCCUUUUUCUUAAAAGGUUAAUUUUCCUAAAUUUUUAAUCUGCUCUUGAUAAAAAGAUUAUAAAAAGGCUUUUUUUGACUAUUUUAACCUUGUUUCCCCUUGACUGUUUCUGUUGUCACUUUGAAUAGAUACCUGAGCAUGGUCUCGCAGUGAGCUUUGUUUCCUAUCUAAACAAAUGUUUUAAAGCUUUUAAUAUUUUUGACAAGCUUCCCCAUACACACAAAUAUUGAAGUCUUGAAUAAAAGCUUUCUUUUCACCUGGAAGACAAGGGAAAGUUUCUCUGGGGAUUUUCAGAGGGCCCCUGAGACUUCUCGGAGAAAUUUGCUCUCUUCCUAUAAAAAAAAAAAUGCUAAACUAAUAAGGCUUAUUUUGUAUGUUAAAUUACAUGGGAAGCGUUGUCAAAUAAGUAAUCAUAAACUUUCUUAAAUGGUAUUAUGUAAAUUAGUGUUAUUGAUAUAAGUAUUUUCAAAAUGAUCUGAUCUGUUCUGAUUGUCGGCUAUAAUGCUGGUUAUUAUCUCAAAAUGUUACAUAUCACAGACAUGGUCAAAUGCCUUUCUCAAUUACCAUUUUUGAAUGUUUUGUUAUUUAUAAAUAGUGGCUGUUUUACUUUGAUGUUUCUGCAAAUAUGUUUCAUCUGCAGAGAAAUUCAUGGAAAGGACUCUGACACUCUAGAAUACAGGUUUCUAAUAAACAUUCAGAUUGUAAAAACAAACUGAGUAAAAAUUACAGAACUCCAACAGAGAAACUGAUGAGCUCGUAAACUGCUGACAGAAGAUUAAGAUCAAGAAUCAAUUACACAGGACAGAAUAAACUGAUAGGGAUGAUUAUAAUUUUUAUGACUUUUUGAUUGAGAUAUUGCUGAUUUUUGAUGUUUUGCUUUUUUUCAGAGUUAAGAAAACCUUUUUCUCUAUUCUCUUAAAGAACUAUGACUUACAGGAAUUCAUAAACAAAAUUGAAACAUUUGUCUUUUCCUCCCUAUCUGAGCCCUCCAAAACGUAAAAACCCCUGAUGAGUAAGUAUUCUUAUUCUUAUGGCAAUAUAGUUGUUUGCAUAAGUACAAUAAGAAUCUGUUCUUCUUUUAACAGGACACAAUUGGAAACACUAUUUAUAUUACCAAGGCAUUGACUGGAACAUCAUAUUUGAAAAAACAUACAGGCUUAAAUAUAACAAGACAGGUUUUGAGGAAUGAAGGUUGACAUUCUGGAAUAAAGCCACUUGAAAAUAUUGGCCUGGUACUGUGCUUAUGGGUUCUGUAACCUGGUAAGGUUGAGCAAAGAAUGUCGCUCCUUUUGGCAGGUACAAGGAACCUCAAUAUUUUGGGGAACCUCAUGAAGAGAGGGAUUCGCCCAAAUCUGCAGGUACUGCAGGCAGAAUCUGAUAACAGGUCCUUUGCUUGGCUUUCCUUGAGAGGCCUUUAAAGAUCAACCUGAGAUUCGUUAUAAGAUUCCAGCAAAGCAGAUUUAAAAGAGCCUGUGUGAUCAAUUACUAUUCUUGCUGUACUUAUGUAAAUAAUUAUGCCAAAUUUAUUAAAACUAAACAUUGUUCAAAUCAGUUAGUCUUAAUUUGGCUAUGUCUAGUAAAAUUGAGGGUGAUUUUCAGGAGGAAAAUUAUGUUUCAAUAGAAACUAUAAUACAUGUUUAUAAAUAUUGGAUCUUAGUUUUUUCAACUAUCUUUGAAAUUUUUGUUUUACUUCUGUUAACUGGACUGGAUCUUGAAUUCUUCAUCUCCUGAAAUAUCUGGCUAAAAACGUCCAAACUAACAUUUUCAGGUUUUUUCCCCAUUAUUUUCAUUUGGAGUCAUUGAAAACUAAAUCUGCCCUUUUUCCUAAAGCCUUACAAACUGAAGCUGGAGGACCUAAUAUAAACUUAAGAGAGAUUCAUGUCUACUGCUGUGUAAGCCACUCAAAAAGCUACCUGAGUGCCCAAUGACACCAUCAGAGACAUUUCAAACUGCAAAAGAUGCUUUGACCCUGACUUCUAGGAAUCUUGAUUGGCUGCCCCCUGGGCUCAAAAGCUGGUUUAUAAUUUGCUCCAACCAUUAACCUUGUUUUUCUCUUUUUGUUUCUUUAGAAAAACUUCUUAUUAAAUAACUGGUUACUUACUUAUAUGAUACAGGCCUAACUUAAGGAGCCCACCAGCAUCACUGCCUUAUUUAAAGACUGGUUCAAUGAGAUGAAACAACCUACACCCCAUUUCAGCAGGAAGUAGCUAGAUCGGUCAUCACCCCAAAUCCCUCAAGAUUGAAGGAUGGACAUAAAAGAGGGGGGAGUUGAUACCGAUCCUGAUAUCAAUUUCCCCACAUUAAACCCAGCAUAUAUGAGGUUAAAACCAAAAUACUCAUUCCCCGCUUACUCUCUGGCUUCCGGGCUCCAGAAUCCACUAUCCUCCAUGGAGACAGACAGCGUCAAGGACAAGCACCUGGACUAUCUCCUCCCACAGAGAUACAGGCUGGUGGGAAAGCUGCUGACCAGCAAGGUCAUGGGCUUCCUCCUCUCUGCAAGUGUCUCAAGGCCAAAGACAGGCUGGUGGGAAAGCUCCGACCAGCAAGGUCACGGGCUUCCUCCUCUCUGCAAGUGUCUCAAGGCCAAAGACAGGCUGGUGGGAAAGCUCCGACCAGCAAGGCCAUAUGCUCCCCCUCCACUACCUAAAGCCCCAAAUAAAAACCCUUCUUUUUAGCUUUUCAGGGAGUUUGGGAUUUCAGCGUUAGCCGCCCUCUCUCCUUGCUCAGCACUGUGCAAAAAUAAAGUUCCUACUUUCUUCCACCACUCCCG
Molecule: long non-coding RNA, 5532 nt
Filed under: Equus asinus (donkey)
Lineage: Eukaryota; Metazoa; Chordata; Mammalia; Perissodactyla; Equidae
Description: lncRNA (ENSEASG00005032534.1)
Source: RNAcentral